This 194-nucleotide non-coding RNA is filed under the name bovine gut metagenome. RNAcentral describes it as "raiA RNA". It matches the Rfam family "raiA RNA". The record is from RNAcentral.
GGGUCUGUGGUUGCAAGCCGAUGCCAGUCGCAGGCAAAACGGUCCACGUAAGCCGGGCAAAGCCCCGGUGAGCAUGGUGCGGUCUAGAUGUAAGCCCGGCCACGCGAAAGCGUGAGAGGACGGCGUGAGGGCGUUUGACACGCAGAGCAAAAUCCCAGCCGGCGAGUGUGGGGACAAAGACCAGGUCAGCCGAU